UCGGUGACCUAUAUUUUUUAUUAUUGUUUUCAAAUAAGCUGUACAUAAACUAAAUAAUUGUCAAAUUUAAGCGAGUUCUGUAAUUAGGUUAUUUUUUAUUUCGAUAUUACCUCUAUUUCUCCUAUUAGCUGAACAGAAAAAAAGGACAUUAACAAAAAUGUAGGCUUCUUCCGGAGGCAGAUUGUGAGCUUAAAUGAACGGUGACCCCAUUUUUUAUUUCAUUUUUCUUUUAAGUAUAUGAUAAAGUUCAUUUAUAAAAAAAUAUAGCGAAAUCCUAUAUUAGAAAAAAAAAUGAUUUAUACCCAGGAGCCACCUUAAUACAUGUAUGCAAAUAGACCAAGGUGAGCGACACAGGCUCUUAAGAGCCUCUUGUUUAAAUAUUGAUCUUUGAACUUUGAGGUAUAUGUUCGUUGAAUUUUCAGUAGCCGCCAUCUGGUUUGAUAUGGAAACCAUUUACACAACUGGGAUUUUCUUUAACACGAUACUUACAAGUUUAAUAAUUCAUCAUUCUUUCAAAAUCUUAUAUUUUUUGUCAUCGUAAAUGGCUAUUAAUCAGAUUUUAUAUUAACAACUAAUAAUAAUUAUAUAAUUACAAUAAACUGUGAAAU
This 608-nucleotide long non-coding RNA is filed under the name Mytilus galloprovincialis (Mediterranean mussel). Lineage: Eukaryota; Metazoa; Mollusca; Bivalvia; Mytilida; Mytilidae. The record is from RNAcentral.